This 548-nucleotide ribosomal RNA is filed under the name uncultured bacterium. Its description in RNAcentral is "bacterial SSU rRNA". It matches the Rfam family "Bacterial small subunit ribosomal RNA", at positions 777 to 1319 of the family's 1533-position model. The record is from RNAcentral.
AAUAGAUACCCAGGUAGUCCAUGCCGUAAAACGAUGAGUGCUAAGUGUUAGGGGGUUUCCGCCCCUUAGUGCUGCAGCUAACGCAUUAAGCACUCCGCCUGGGGAGUACGGUCGCAAGACUGAAACUCAAAGGAAUUGACGGGGGCCCGCACAAGCGGUGGAGCAUGUGGUUUAAUUCGAAGCAACGCGAAGAACCUUACCAGGUCUUGACAUCCCACUGACCGCUAUGGAGACAUAGUUUUCCCUUCGAGGACAGUGGUGACAAGUGGUGCAUGGUUGUCGUCAGCUCGUGUCGUGAGAUGUUGGGUUAAGUCCCGCAACGAGCGCAACCCUUGAUCUUAGUUGCCAUCAUUUAGUUGGGCACUCUAAGGUGACCGCCGGUGACAAACCGGAGGAAGGUGGGGAUGACGUCAAAUCAUCAUGCCCCUUAUGACCUGGGCUACACACGUGCUACAAUGGACGGUACAAACGGUUGCCAACCCGGCAGGGGGGAGCUAAUCCGGAUAAAACCCGUUCUCAGUUCGGAUUGUAGGCUGCAACUCGCCUAC